UGACUGAGUGGCGGACGGGUGAGUAACGCGUGGGUAACCUGCCUCAUACAGGGGGAUAACAGUUAGAAAUGACUGCUAAUACCGCAUAAGCGCACAGUGCUGCAUGGCACAGUGUGAAAAACUCCGGUGGUAUGAGAUGGACCCGCGUCUGAUUAGCUAGUUGGUGGGGUAACGGCCUACCAAGGCGACGAUCAGUAGCCGGCCUGAGAGGGUGAACGGCCACAUUGGGACUGAGACACGGCCCAAACUCCUACGGGAGGCAGCAGUGGGGAAUAUUGCACAAUGGGGGAAACCCUGAUGCAGCGACGCCGCGUGAGCGAAGAAGUAUUUCGGUAUGUAAAGCUCUAUCAGCAGGGAAGAAAAUGACGGUACCUGACUAAGAAGCACCGGCUAAAUACGUGCCAGCAGCCGCGGUAAUACGUAUGGUGCAAGCGUUAUCCGGAUUUACUGGGUGUAAAGGGAGCGUAGACGGUUGUGUAAGUCUGAUGUGAAAGCCCGGGGCUCAACCCCGGGACUGCAUUGGAAACUAUGUAACUAGAGUGUCGGAGAGGUAAGCGGAAUUCCUAGUGUAGCGGUGAAAUGCGUAGAUAUUAGGAGGAACACCAGUGGCGAAGGCGGCU
Molecule: ribosomal RNA, 620 nt
Filed under: uncultured Lachnospiraceae bacterium
Lineage: Bacteria; Bacillati; Bacillota; Clostridia; Lachnospirales; Lachnospiraceae
Description: bacterial SSU rRNA
Rfam family: Bacterial small subunit ribosomal RNA
Source: RNAcentral